CAUCGAUGUUUCACAUUGUUGCUUUACCAGGGAACCUGGUGGGUUUUGCACCCGAGGCAAUGUAUUCCCUAAAAUGUAAAAUGCAAGGAGGAGGGCCUUUGCUCUGUAAGGUGGAAAGAAGUCCAUUUCACAAGAGGAACGUACAACUUUGACCUCAUUUUUUCUUAGGUAGAUUUGAGAAAAGAGGAAAAACGGGCUUUGAGGAUCUGAAAAUUGACUCCCGUAAGAACUCAAGACUCACAUGGAAAGUUGUCCAGAUUCUUGCUAUUGUAGUGUGGUCUGUGGACAGGCAGCAUUGGCAUCACCUGGGAGCUGGGUAGAAAUGUAGACUCUUGGGCCUACUCCAGACCUAUGGAAUCAGAAUCUGCAUUUGAUGGAAUCUCAGGGUGAUUUGCAAGCACAUUCAAGUCUGAGAAACACUGAGCUGGACCACCGCCACUCCCCUCCCGGAAGAACGUGGCUUCGUAGCCUGGAAUCUGUCUGUGUUCUCCGCGUGGGCUCCUUCCUAGGAAAAAUACGUGUGAACAAAACGUAAAAGGAUUAAUUUAGCAUCAUAUCCCGUGAUUUCAAUGUGGGGCGAAGUGUGGGAGCUUAAUAAGUCGGUGACCCAUCUGAGCUGGCAUCAGAGGAAGGAUCAGGGUGCUCAAAAGAAGGGCCUUGGAUGAUGGCCUCCAAGGCACCCU
Molecule: long non-coding RNA, 683 nt
Organism: Lynx canadensis (Canada lynx)
Lineage: Eukaryota; Metazoa; Chordata; Mammalia; Carnivora; Felidae
Exons: 3
Source: RefSeq, a predicted model, not a curated record